AAUUAUCAACUUGAAAAUUCUCGUUUUCAAUGUUUGGACUUGGAGCGUGCCGGCGGUCUCAUCCCCGGCUCCUCUUGAAACGCAUUAGCGGGUACUAUUGCUGAUCCUUGCUCCGGCGUGAUAAUUAUCAACGUUGCGGCAGGUGAAUGCGCCGUUCCGCUCAUAAUCGUUGCAUAUAUGCGCAACAGCUCUUUGACGA
This 199-nucleotide unclassified non-coding RNA is filed under the name uncultured Agaricomycetes. Its description in RNAcentral is "sequence contains ITS2". The record is from RNAcentral. Lineage: Eukaryota; Fungi; Basidiomycota; Agaricomycetes.